Long non-coding RNA from Helianthus annuus (common sunflower), 369 nucleotides. RefSeq lists it as uncharacterized. NCBI's taxonomy places the organism in Eukaryota, Viridiplantae, Streptophyta, Magnoliopsida, Asterales, Asteraceae. The transcript has 3 exons. The record is from RefSeq and is a predicted model, not a curated record.
GACGUUGACCGAUGACAGUAACGCUGGGCUCGGACUCACGUCAGUGGGUUUCGGGUGCAGAUUCAAGGAUUCGGGUUCGCGACAGGAGGAUGGGUUUUAGUGGCACAGCUUCAAUUCGGAUUCCGAUUUGUUUGGUUUGUUUCGGCUUGUGCGGUUCAGUCUCUGUUCAGUUCAGAUCUAGGGGUUUGCGAGUGGAAAUGGUGACGCCACUUGAGGGGUUUCUGACUGACGAACAGAGGGAGGUGUUGAAAACGGUAACUGGGAGCUGGUAGGUUUUGUCGUCGUCGCCCAAGUCACCGUUGUGGUUGAUUUCUGAACAUGAAAUUCAGGAGACGUCGUAAAUGAGGAAAGUGGAGAUGGAAGGUCGAU